RNAcentral lists this transfer RNA (73 nucleotides) under Nothobranchius nubaensis. RNAcentral describes it as "tRNA-Leu". It matches the Rfam family "tRNA". Rfam says of the family: Transfer RNA (tRNA) molecules are approximately 80 nucleotides in length. Their secondary structure includes four short double-helical elements and three loops (D, anti-codon, and T loops). Lineage: Eukaryota; Metazoa; Chordata; Actinopteri; Cyprinodontiformes; Nothobranchiidae. The record is from RNAcentral.
AUUAGUGUGGCAGAAACAGGUAUUGCAGAAGGCCUAAGCCCUUUACACGGAAGUUCAAAUCUUCCCUCUAAUU